CGGUAACAGGGGUAAGCUUGCUUCCCGCUGACGAGCGGCGGACGGGUGAGUAAUGCUUAGGAAUCUGCCCAGUAGUGGGGGAUAGCCCGGGGAAACCCGGAUUAAUACCGCAUACGUCCUACGGGAGAAAGCAGGGGAUCUUCGGACCUUGCGCUAUUGGAUGAGCCUAAGUCGGAUUAGCUAGUUGGUGGGGUAAAGGCCUACCAAGGCGACGAUCCGUAGCUGGUCUGAGAGGAUGAUCAGCCACAUCGGGACUGAGACACGGCCCGAACUCCUACGGGAGGCAGCAGUGGGGAAUAUUGGACAAUGGGGGCAACCCUGAUCCAGCCAUGCCGCGUGUGUGAAGAAGGCUUUCGGGUUGUAAAGCACUUUCAGUAGGGAGGAAAACCUUAUGGUUAAUACCCAUGAGGCUUGACGUUACCUACAGAAGAAGCACCGGCUAACUCCGUGCCAGCAGCCGCGGUAAUACGGAGGGUGCAAGCGUUAAUCGGAAUUACUGGGCGUAAAGCGCGCGUAGGUGGUUUGGUAAGCGAGAUGUGAAAGCCCCGGGCUUAACCUGGGAACGGCAUUUCGAACUGUCAGACUAGAGUGUGGUAGAGGGUAGUGGAAUUUCCUGUGUAGCGGUGAAAUGCGUAGAUAUAGGAAGGAACACCAGUGGCGAAAGCGGCUACCUGGACCAACACUGACACUGAGGUGCGAAAGCGUGGGGGAGCAAACAGGAUUAGAUACCC
This 731-nucleotide ribosomal RNA is filed under the name Marinobacter nauticus. Its description in RNAcentral is "bacterial SSU rRNA". It matches the Rfam family "Bacterial small subunit ribosomal RNA", at positions 67 to 787 of the family's 1533-position model. The record is from RNAcentral. Lineage: Bacteria; Pseudomonadati; Pseudomonadota; Gammaproteobacteria; Pseudomonadales; Marinobacteraceae.